Molecule: ribosomal RNA, 443 nt
Filed under: uncultured bacterium
Lineage: Bacteria
Description: partial 16S ribosomal RNA
Rfam family: Bacterial small subunit ribosomal RNA
Source: RNAcentral
CCUACGGGUGGCUGCAGUGGGGAAUAUUGGUCAAUGGGCGCAAGCCUGACCCAGCAACGCCGCGUGAAGGAAGAAGGCUCUCUGGUUGUUAACUUCUUUUUUUAGGGACGAAGCAAGUUACGGUACCUGAUGAUUAAGCCUCGGCUAACUACGUGCCAGCAGUCGCGGUAAUACGUAGGUGGCAAGCGUUAUCCGGAUUUACUGGGUGUAAAGGUCGUGUAGGCGGGAGUGCAAGUCAGAUGUGAAAACUAUGGGCUCAACCCAUAGCCUGCAUUUGAAACUGGAAUUCUUGAGUGCUGGAGAGGCAAGCGGAAUUCGGUGUGUAGCGGUGAAAUGCGUAGAUAUACGGAGGAACACCAGUGGCGAAGGCAGAUUGCUGGACAGUAACUGACGCUGAGGCGCGAAAGCGUGGGGAGCAAACAGGAUUAGAUACCCGAGUAGUC